UACCGUAUGACAUCAUGUUGAAGGUCAC
RNAcentral lists this small RNA (28 nucleotides) under Bombyx mori (domestic silkworm). Its description in RNAcentral is "ovarian small RNA-20755". Lineage: Eukaryota; Metazoa; Arthropoda; Insecta; Lepidoptera; Bombycidae. The record is from RNAcentral.